GAUCCUGGCUCAGGAUGAACGCUGGCGGCGUGCUUAACACAUGCAAGUCGAACGGAACUACUUUAAUGAGAUUCUUCGGAAAGGAUUUGAUUUAGUUUAGUGGCGGACGGGUGAGUAACGCGUGGGUAACCUGCCUCAUACAGGGGGAUAACAGUUGGAAACGGCUGUUAAUACCGUAUAAGCGCACAGUACCGCAUGGUACAGUGUGAAAAACUCUGGUGGUAUGAGAUGGACCCGCGUCUGAUUAG
This 248-nucleotide ribosomal RNA is filed under the name uncultured bacterium. RNAcentral describes it as "partial 16S ribosomal RNA". It matches the Rfam family "Bacterial small subunit ribosomal RNA", at positions 15 to 244 of the family's 1533-position model. The record is from RNAcentral.